AGUGAACGCUGGCGGUAGGCCUAACACAUGCAAGUCGAACGGCAGCACAGUAAGAGCUUGCUCUUACGGGUGGCGAGUGGCGGACGGGUGAGGAAUACAUCGGAAUCUACUUUUUCGUGGGGGAUAACGUAGGGAAACUUACUCUAAUACCGCAUACGACCUACGGGUGAAAGCAGGGGAUCUUCGGACCUUGCGCGAUUGAAUGAGCCGAUGUCGGAUUAGCUAGUUGGCGGGGUAAAGGCCCACCAAGGCGACGAUCCGUAGCUGGUCUGAGAGGAUGGUAGGCCACACUGGAACUUGGACACGGUCCAGACUCCUACGGGAGGCAGCAGUGGGGAAUAUUGGACAAUGGGCGCAAGCCUGAUCCAGCCAUACCGCGUGGGUGAAGAAGGCCUUCGGGUUGUAAAGCCCUUUUGUUGGGAAAGAAAAGCAGCAGGUUAAUACCCCGCUGUUCUGACGGUACCCAAAGAAUAAGCACCGGCUAACUUCGUG
Molecule: ribosomal RNA, 492 nt
Filed under: uncultured bacterium
Lineage: Bacteria
Description: partial 16S ribosomal RNA
Rfam family: Bacterial small subunit ribosomal RNA
Source: RNAcentral